GAUGAACGCUGGCGGCGUGCCUAAUACAUGCAAGUCGAGCGAACGGACGAGAAGCUUGCUUCUCUGAUGUUAGCGGCGGACGGGUGAGUAACACGUGGAUAACCUACCUAUAAGACUGGGAUAACUUCGGGAAACCGGAGCUAAUACCGGAUAAUAUUUUGAACCGCAUGGUUCAAAAGUGAAAGACGGUCUUGCUGUCACUUAUAGAUGGAUCCGCGCUGCAUUAGCUAGUUGGUAAGGUAACGGCUUACCAAGGCAACGAUGCAUAGCCGACCUGAGAGGGUGAUCGGCCACACUGGAACUGAGACACGGUCCAGACUCCUACGGGAGGCAGCAGUAGGGAAUCUUCCGCAAAGGGCGAAAGCCUGACGGAGCAACGCCGCGUGAGUGAUGAAGGUCUUCGGAUCGUAAAACUCUGUUAUUAGGGAAGAACAUAUGUGUAAGUAACUGUGCACAUCUUGACGGUACCUAAUCAGAAAGCCACGGCUAACUACGUA
This 497-nucleotide ribosomal RNA is filed under the name uncultured bacterium. RNAcentral describes it as "partial 16S ribosomal RNA". It matches the Rfam family "Bacterial small subunit ribosomal RNA", at positions 28 to 507 of the family's 1533-position model. The record is from RNAcentral.